AUUGAACGCUGGCGGCAGGCUUAACACAUGCAAGUCGAGCGGGGUGAUGGUGCUUGCACUAUCACUUAGCGGCGGACGGGUGAGUAAUGCUUAGGAAUCUGCCUAUUAGUGGGGGACAACAUCUCGAAAGGGAUGCUAAUACCGCAUACGUCCUACGGGAGAAAGCAGGGGAUCACUUGUGACCUUGCGCUAAUAGAUGAGCCUAAGUCGGAUUAGCUAGUUGGUGGGGUAGAGGCCUGCCAAGGCGACGAUCUGUAGCGGGUCUGAGAGGAUGAUCCGCCACACUGGGACUGAGACACGGCCCAGACUCCUACGGGAGGCAGCAGUGGGGAAUAUUGGACAAUGGGGGGAACCCUGAUCCAGCCAUGCCGCGUGUGUGAAGAAGGCCUUAUGGUUGUAAAGCACUUUAAGCGAGGAGGAGGCUCUUUUGGUUAAUACCCAAGAUGAGUGGACGUUACUCGCAGAAUAAGCACCGGCUAACUCUGUGCCAGCCGCCGCGGUAA
RNAcentral lists this ribosomal RNA (503 nucleotides) under uncultured bacterium. RNAcentral's name for it is "partial 16S ribosomal RNA". It matches the Rfam family "Bacterial small subunit ribosomal RNA", at positions 30 to 523 of the family's 1533-position model. The record is from RNAcentral.